This 74-nucleotide transfer RNA is filed under the name Danio rerio (zebrafish). It matches the Rfam family "tRNA". Rfam says of the family: Transfer RNA (tRNA) molecules are approximately 80 nucleotides in length. Their secondary structure includes four short double-helical elements and three loops (D, anti-codon, and T loops). Further hydrogen bonds mediate the characteristic L-shaped molecular structure. tRNAs have two regions of fundamental functional importance: the anti-codon, which is responsible for specific mRNA codon recognition, and the 3' end, to which the tRNAs corresponding amino acid is attached (by aminoacyl-tRNA synthetases). tRNAs cope with the degeneracy of the genetic code in two manners: having more than one tRNA (with a specific anti-codon) for a particular amino acid; and 'wobble' base-pairing, i.e. permitting non-standard base-pairing at the 3rd anti-codon position. The record is from Rfam by way of RNAcentral. Lineage: Eukaryota; Metazoa; Chordata; Actinopteri; Cypriniformes; Danionidae.
GGUGCUGUGGCUUAGUUGGUCAAAGCGCCUGUCUAGUAAAUAGGAGAUCCUGGGUUCAAAUCCCAGCAGUGCUU